RNAcentral lists this ribosomal RNA (467 nucleotides) under uncultured bacterium. RNAcentral's name for it is "partial 16S ribosomal RNA". It matches the Rfam family "Bacterial small subunit ribosomal RNA", at positions 28 to 506 of the family's 1533-position model. The record is from RNAcentral.
GACGAACGCUGGCGGCGUGCUUAACACAUGCAAGUCGAACGGAAAGGCCCUGCUUUUGUGGGGUGCUCGAGUGGCGAACGGGUGAGUAACACGUGAGUAACCUGCCCUUGACUUUGGGAUAACUUCAGGAAACUGGGGCUAAUACCGGAUAGGAGCUCCUGCUGCAUGGUGGGGGUUGGAAAGUUUCGGCGGUUGGGGAUGGACUCGCGGCUUAUCAGCUUGUUGGUGGGGUAGUGGCUUACCAAGGCUUUGACGGGUAGCCGGCCUGAGAGGGUGACCGGCCACAUUGGGACUGAGAGACGGCCCAGACUCCUACGGGAGGCAGCAGUGGGGAAUAUUGCACAAUGGGCGGAAGCCUGAUGCAGCAACGCCGCGUGCGGGAUGACGGCCUUCGGGUUGUAAACCGCUUUCACCUGUGACGAAGCGUGAGUGACGGGAAUGGGUAAAGAAGCACCGGCUAACUACGU